RNAcentral lists this long non-coding RNA (318 nucleotides) under Brachypodium distachyon (stiff brome). RNAcentral's name for it is "long non-coding RNA (BDIS_LNC001821)". Lineage: Eukaryota; Viridiplantae; Streptophyta; Magnoliopsida; Poales; Poaceae. The record is from RNAcentral.
CAUGUUCAAAUAAUUUUACAGCAAGCUAACAUGCUCAAAACCAUUUUGAAACAAUUCAUUUGAAAUUUAAACCAUAUUCAUGCAUUCUGUAAAUUGCUUCUGACUAAGAUGUUCAAAACUGAAAAUAGACAGUGCCAAAAUAUUCUACAAGUUGUGACGAUUCCAGAAAGGUGCGGAUCAUUAAUUUUGGACAAACGGUUUAAAAGUUAUGAUGCUUUGAAGUUACAGGGGCUUUUCUGCAAAAGUGCAAUAUUGAUUCGGCCGAAAAUAAAAACAAAAACAAAAAGCUUCGCCACAUGGCAUGACGGGGUUGGCCAG